Molecule: transfer RNA, 72 nt
Filed under: Marmota marmota marmota (Alpine marmot)
Lineage: Eukaryota; Metazoa; Chordata; Mammalia; Rodentia; Sciuridae
Also listed under: 2 other names
Rfam family: tRNA
About the family: Transfer RNA (tRNA) molecules are approximately 80 nucleotides in length. Their secondary structure includes four short double-helical elements and three loops (D, anti-codon, and T loops). Further hydrogen bonds mediate the characteristic L-shaped molecular structure. tRNAs have two regions of fundamental functional importance: the anti-codon, which is responsible for specific mRNA codon recognition, and the 3' end, to which the tRNAs corresponding amino acid is attached (by aminoacyl-tRNA synthetases). tRNAs cope with the degeneracy of the genetic code in two manners: having more than one tRNA (with a specific anti-codon) for a particular amino acid; and 'wobble' base-pairing, i.e. permitting non-standard base-pairing at the 3rd anti-codon position.
Source: Rfam by way of RNAcentral
UGGGGUGUAGCUCAGUGGCAGAGUGCUCACCUAGCAUGUGUGGGGCCCUGGGUUCCAUCCUCAGCACCACAC